This is an RNA transcript of Adelges cooleyi (spruce gall adelgid), 2776 nucleotides long. It is a transcript of the gene named GATA zinc finger domain-containing protein 14-like, with no coding region annotated. The record is from RefSeq and is a predicted model, not a curated record. Lineage: Eukaryota; Metazoa; Arthropoda; Insecta; Hemiptera; Adelgidae. The transcript is spliced from 11 exons.
AAAGCGCUAUAUUUUGGUAUGAUAUCAAACUAGAAAAAUACACAUAAAAUGUUUUACUUUUUGUAAUUGUAUAAAUAUUAAAUUUGUUAAUAUUUUCAUUUUUCACCGGCUUUCGUUUGGAGUCGAAAACUUGCGCUAUUGUCCACUGUAGCGCUGAAUGUACAGCUGCAUGGUGGUAGGCGUCCAUAGCCGAGUGAAUAUGAAUAAUGACAGACUAAUGAGCAAUGAGUCAUCACGAAGCGUGGAGGCAAAUUUGCUUAUCACAAACGCUACCGCUACGGUUUACGGACAUUUUUUUUAGCGCAUCCCGCAUCUGUUUGGCGACUGGUGACAGGAUAAAUAAUAUACCCACCUUGUAUUAUGUUGAUAGUUCGGUUCCAAACAAACGCGGUGUGUGUGUAUCAUUCGAGAGUUUAAAAAGUUGUAUAAUAUUCAACCGCGUUUAAAUGUGCGUUUUGUAGACUGCCGAUUUCUGUAUUUUUUCUUCUAACUGUACCUACCGAAAUCGGAUUGUCGUCGGUCAUCCGUACUUGUGCACGUUUUCUCAGUAAACUCAUAUGUAUUAUAAGUAAACAAAAAGGCACUUAAGACGCCGGCCGAGAUUUUCACCAUUGCAAAUUUUCGCAUGUAUACAAUUUUCGACAUUGUUUUCCGGUCGUUACGAGAUGAAAUUGAUUUUGUUAUAAGAAUAAAGAAGUUUUUGAAAUUAUGGAACUAGAAGAGGUUCCUGUUCUUCGUCCGAGAAUGGCACCUCCUCACUUAAUGCGUCCUCGACUGCAAGGAUACCCGCCUAGAACUGUUAUGAUGAGAAACUUACCACCUGGGUUUUUACCACGACCUUUUCGCCAUCCGUCUCGAAUGAUGAGACCCCAUAUGUUGCCUGUAAUAAAUGCUAGAGGAAUGUUGUCUAGAAUAUCACCAAUGAGAAAUAUGUUAUUACCUCCUCAUGUACUGCGUAAUAUACCAUCUCAUUUGAGACCUAUACCGCCUGGAGUGAAAUUAAUACCUUCAAGCGGUAUGAAACAUGGACUGCAUAACAUUUCAAAUACAGAAAUUCCAAUUGAUCGCAAUGGUGUUGAUGAAUAUGAGAUUAAAGUACAAUCAUCCGAAAAUCCAAAAAGUUUAUUACAACAGAAAACUACACCUCCGUCAUUAAUGUCUCAAACUUUUUCCAAGCCUCUAAUCAAUUCUAAUAAAGGUCGUCAUAAUAAAAAUAAUAGAGGUGUAGCCAAUAAUCAAAUUAAUGAUAUUGUUCAAAUUACAACGACUGGUACUAGACAUCCGAGUGGCACAAAUAAACAUAACAACGGACCAGCUAAAAGAUUAUUGACUCAGGUGCAUCAAGUCAAAAAACUAAAGUCAAUGGACUACAAUAACGAUAGAUCAAUGGAUCAUCAUAACAAUAGAACAUUGAAUCAUCAUAAUAACAGACAGAUAGAUUAUAAAAAUGGUGGUUACCAACAACAAAUGCAAAAUCAUUCAAACACACAAAAUGUUCGUCGGAAUGAACAAAAUUUGUUUUCGCGGCAUAAUGAACAACCUUCUAUCAACCCAGGGUCUCAACAGUAUCCUCAGCAAUACAAUGCCCACCCUCAGGUCUAUGAGCAACCACAACAACAGAUGUAUAACCAAGCACAAGAAUCGCAGUAUAAUAAUCAGCAACAAAUGCAACAGCAAGUUCCGUACGAUCAAUCACAGCAGUAUAACCAAACACAGCGUUAUGAUACAACACAGCAAUAUGACCAACAGCAGCAACCAUAUGGUCAUCCACCCCAGCAAUAUAAUAACACCUCGAUGCUGCAGACUUACCAGCAACCACCACCACAAACAAUGGAUUCUUCUUACAAUGCGAAUUACAACAAUGCUAAUAAUUCACAAAGUUAUAAUCCAUUGCCUACUCAACCAGCGGCACCACAAGCACAAAACCAGUAUGAUUACACUCAGCAACAACCGUAUAAUCAAGCAGCAACUAAUUACACAAAUCAGCCGUCCUACGGGGGUACGUAUGGGCAGUAUGAUCAACAGCAAAGCAAUUAUACUGCAUACCAAAAUCCACAAGCACAAUAUGACUCAAAUCAGGCGACAGGCUAUUCUCAACAAACAGCGCCUUAUGUAGCUGAAAACAAUUAUUCGAAACCAGAAGAAAAUUAUUCUAAUUACAAUUAUGGAACUUCAACACAAACUGCGACACAGUACCAAGGUCCUACUAACUCUUCUUAUCAGACAGACAUGUAUUCAAAAACCGACACUGCUUAUGGUUAUAGACCACCAUAUUGAAGACUUAAAGGAUAAAAUGUUUUAUAUUUUUGAUUUUCAAUUUCUUUUGGACUGAAUCGAGGGAGGAAUAUUGCGUUGUCGCCAUUGGGGUUUCAAUGACACGUGUUGUGAAAUAAGUGGCAAGUCAAUGGAAUUUUAAGGUCAUUGUGAGGAGUCUUCAUUUCGAUUUGAUGCCCAAGCCAUUUCGUGCAAUGAUGGUGUCAUCCGUACCUAUACUGUGAAAAAGUUCGGGUAAAAUUUAUAAUAAUAGUACUUCUAUUAAUAAUAUUUGUUUUUUCAGGGAUGGCUUUUUAUUUGGUGAAAACAUACACCAAUCGACAACUAGUAUUAAUUUGUUGCAAUGCAAGUUAUCCCCACAUUUACUACUUAAAUGUAAUUGGAAUUCUGUCAGUCGUGUGCUUCGUUCGAUAUAUUUUAUGAAUUAUUAUCACUGUAGCUGCACUUGUGACUGUAAACGCAAUAAACUCAAUUGUGUUGUCAGCGACUUGUGUACUUAAUC